Molecule: long non-coding RNA, 1080 nt
Filed under: Marmota monax (woodchuck)
Lineage: Eukaryota; Metazoa; Chordata; Mammalia; Rodentia; Sciuridae
Source: RNAcentral
GUUUAGUGUUACAUUUAUUGUUAGGAUUACUGUCAGGGUUAGUAUUAGGGCUAGGGUUAGGGUUAGUGAUAGGGUGAGAGUAAGGGUUAGGGUUAGGCUUAGAAUUAGGUUUAAUGUAAGGGUUAUGGUUAUUGGUAGAGUUAGUGUUAGUGAUAGUUUUAGGGUUAGGAUUAGGGUUUUGGUUAGGUUAGGGUGUGCUUUGUCUUAGGUUUAGGGUUAUGAUUAGGAUUAUUGAUAGGAUUAGGGUUAUGGUUAGUGUUAGGUUUAAAAUUAGGGUUAGGAUUAGUGUUAGUAUUAUAGUUAAUAUUGGGGUUAAGAUGAGGUUUUGUUUUAGGUUGAGGUUUAUGAUUAGGGUUAGUGUUUGGAUUAGGGAUAGUAGUAGGUUAAAUUUAGUGUUAAUGUUAGAGUUAGGGUUUGGUUUAGUGUUAUGUUUAGUUUUAGGAUUAGAGUUAGUGUUAGCAUAAGUUAAGGGUUAGGUUUAGUGUUAGAAUUAGGGUUCAGUUUAGGUUUAGGGGUAAUGUUAGGUUUAGGAUUAGGGUUAAGUUUAGGGUUACAGUUACUGAUAGGUUUAUGGUUUGGGUUAGGCAGGUGUUAGGGUUAGAGUUUGGAUUAGUGUUAGUGUAAGAAGUAGUGUUAGGAAUAGGGUUAGUGUUAAUGUUAGGGUUAGGUUUAGAUAUAGGUUAGGGUUAGGUUUUAUGUUAGGGUUAGUGGAAGGGAUAGUUAUGCGGAUAGGAUUGUGUUAGAAUUAGGCUUAGGUUUAUGAUUUAGAGUUAGGGUUAGUGUUAGGGUUAGGGUUAGGGAUCAGGAAAGGUUUACGGUUAGGGUUAGAGUUUGGGUUAGUGUCAGUGUAAGAAGUAGUGUUAGGAAUAGGGUUACUGUUAAUGUUAGGGUUAGGUUUAGAUAUAGGUUAGGGUUUGGUUUUAUGUUAGGGUUAGUGGAAGGGAUAGUUAUGCGGAUAGGAUUGUGUUAGAAUUACGCUUAGGUUUAUGAUUUAGAGUUAGGGUUAGUCUUAGGGUUAGGGUUAGUGAUCAGGUAAGGUUUAGGGUUAGGGUUAUGGUUAAGGUUAUGUUUAGGAUUAGU